UGUCCUCUGCCUUGAGCGACAGCGUGCAAAACAUUCGCCUUGUCCCUUAAGAACGACACCGGGGCUGCAACCCGGCCCGGCGUGCAUGUCCGCCACGAGCGGAAAGCCCGACGGCCAGCGAGCAAUCCCACUUGAACCCGCAGGUUCAAGGUCGUUUCGCCGCAUCGCCACGGCGGAGGAUGC
RNAcentral lists this non-coding RNA (183 nucleotides) under Solilutibacter oculi. RNAcentral's name for it is "Lysobacter oculi 6S / SsrS RNA". It matches the Rfam family "6S / SsrS RNA". From Rfam's summary of the family: E. coli 6S RNA was the first non coding RNA to be sequenced, but its function was unknown until recently. It consists of 184 nucleotides that fold into an extended hairpin structure with a large single-stranded internal bulge. Lineage: Bacteria; Pseudomonadati; Pseudomonadota; Gammaproteobacteria; Lysobacterales; Lysobacteraceae. The record is from Rfam by way of RNAcentral.